Nematolebias whitei (Rio pearlfish) is the source of this 702-nucleotide long non-coding RNA. RefSeq lists it as uncharacterized. The record is from RefSeq and is a predicted model, not a curated record. The transcript has 3 exons. NCBI's taxonomy places the organism in Eukaryota, Metazoa, Chordata, Actinopteri, Cyprinodontiformes, Rivulidae.
GCAGAUCAGGUGAAUGUGUCAUCAGAGGAACCAAAGUCAGAAGUUUGUGAUCCAUCAUGUCACUCACCGCUCCCUGUGGAGUCAGUACAGCUGGACUCAGUGGAAAUAUCAGUGGAAACGACACUGAAUGGACACAUGGUUCCAGAAGUUUCUAUUGAGGGUUAGCACAAUGCUACACAACCCAAAAGAUGUUUUAUGUUUUGUAUGCCCCUUGUUCACUUAGAAGAAGGACUGAAAACUUUACAGGAGUCAGCCAGACCUUUUCAUUUUUUAGGGAUUAGGACGGAACAGUCAGGAAAUCAAGGGGACAUCCCUGCUUUGAAGUGCCUUUCCUGUCCUGCUUUCUGCUGAAACAUCAAAUCCAGAUGUGAACAUGUGGAAAGCGAUGCUCUCGAGGCAGCAGCAGAGGAAACAAACAUGUUGCGGCUCAUUUGAAUCUUUUCACACAUCGAAAGCACAUACAGAGAGUUUAUGUUUACAGUGGGAAAAAAUGGACGUGAAGAGGUCUGGAUUCCUAAAAAUGAAAAAGAUGAAUUUUCUUAGCUUGUCCCCACUUCUUCAGAACAACGCCACUCUACAAGCAGAUUGUGUUUUGGAAGCACUGCAACAUGUAUGAUUGAGCCCGUUUGUAGUUAUGCUUUUUUUCUAUUUGUUACAGUUUAUUUUGCUCAGAAUUUUUUUUUUUUAUAUAUAUAGAUAAAC